UACGUAGGGUGCAAGCGUUGUCCGGAAUCAUUGGGCGUAAAGAGCGUGUAGGCGGCCCGGUAAGUCCGCUGUGAAAGUCGGGGGCUCAACCCUCGAAUGCCGGUGGAUACUGUCGGGCUAGAGUGCGGAAGAGGCGAGUGGAAUUCCUGGUGUAGCGGUGAAAUGCGCAGAUAUCAGGAAGAACACCCGUGGCGAAGGCGGCUCUCUGGGACGGUACUGACGCUGAGACGCGAAAGCGUGGGGAGCGAACAGG
Molecule: ribosomal RNA, 253 nt
Filed under: uncultured bacterium
Lineage: Bacteria
Description: partial 16S ribosomal RNA
Rfam family: Bacterial small subunit ribosomal RNA
Source: RNAcentral